RNAcentral lists this long non-coding RNA (719 nucleotides) under Meleagris gallopavo (turkey). RNAcentral describes it as "lncRNA (ENSMGAG00000018041.1)". The record is from RNAcentral. Lineage: Eukaryota; Metazoa; Chordata; Aves; Galliformes; Phasianidae.
CUCACUGCUCACAGGUGUUGAUGAGCUAGGAAAGGAGUAGUAUUGAGGUGCUGGAGGUAGGUAGAGCACAGCUACUGCCUUUGGAGGGAAGGAAGAGAAAAUGGCUCGAUUAACCAAGCAUCUUUUCUGCUUGAGAGAACAGUAGAAAUACAGUCCUCAGCUGUACAGUUUCGCAGUCGUGUUCUGCACCUGAAUAAACUACCCUUCAUAUUAGAAUAUCUGUCACACGCAGCUAGAAAGGAAUAUUUGCCUCUCGGAUGGCAGCAGAAUCUAAGCAAUGCCAUAAAGUUUUCUGCAGCCUUCCAACCUCACUGAAGUGCUGUUCAUCAGUGGCUUAAGCCUCAUCUACAAUGACUCUGCUUUAUGUCAUUUGAAUUUUUACAGGAGGUAUUUGUGCACCAGAUAGAAAAUUUCUGUUUGUUAUUCCUUGCUUAACUUUUGCUAGUCUCCAGGCUGACUUCCAAGUAAAAAACAAGCUACCAGCUGUUUGGACUUCCUGGGAUCUGUCCUUCUUUUCCGUUUGGAAAAUUUGUCCAGAUAGAUAGGAAUGACAAGGAGCAAGUACUGGAUGGCCCUGGGUGGUCUCUCCCAGAAGUGAAUUCCAGUCUUCUGAAUCUCUCAGGAUCUAGUAUACAGGCAUAAAAAUUCAAUAAUUGUCUUCUGAGAAAAGCAUCUCAAUUUAUAAAAGAAUGAUGGCUCACAAAUGAUGUGUGGUAAAU